AUUGAACGCUGGCGGCAGGCCUAACACAUGCAAGUCGAACGGCAGCGGGGGGUAGCUUGCUACCCCGCCGGCGAGUGGCGGACGGGUGAGUAAUGCCUGGGGAGCUGCCCAAUCGAGGGGGAUACCAGUUGGAAACGACUGCUAAUACCGUAUACGCCCUGAGGGGGAAAGGUGGGGAUCUUCGGCCCUACCGCGACUGGUUGCCCCCAGGGGGGAUUAGCGAGUUGGUGUGGUAACGGCUCACCAAGGCGACGAUCUCUAGCUGGUCUGAGAGGCUGACCAGCCACACUGGAACUGAGACACGGUCCAGACUCCUACGGGAGGCAGCAGUGGGGAAUAUUGCACAAUGGGGGAAACCCUGAUGCAGCCAUGCCGCGUGUGUGAAGAAGGCCUUCGGGUUGUAAAGCACUUUCAGCGAGGAGGAAAGGUGGCUAGCUAAUACCUAGUUGCUGUGACGUUACUCGCAGAAGAAGCACCGGCUAACUCCGUGCCAGCCGCCGCGGUAA
RNAcentral lists this ribosomal RNA (506 nucleotides) under uncultured bacterium. Its description in RNAcentral is "partial 16S ribosomal RNA". It matches the Rfam family "Bacterial small subunit ribosomal RNA", at positions 28 to 523 of the family's 1533-position model. The record is from RNAcentral.